AGUCUGAUCAUGGCUCAGGGCGAACGCCUGGCGGCGUGCUUAACACAUGCAAGUCGAACGAUGAAACCUAGCUUGCUAGGUGGAUUAGUCGGCGAACGGGUGAGUAAUACGUGAGUGACCUACCUUUGACUCUGGGAUAAGCCCGGGAAACUGGGUCUAAUACCGGAUACGACCAAUCUCCGCAUGGGGUGUUGGUGGAAAGCGUUAUGGAGUGGUUUUAGAUGGGCUCACGGCCUAUCAGCUUGUUGGUGAGGUAAUGGCUUACCAAGGCGACGACGGGUAGCCGGCCUGAGAGGGUGACCGGCCACACUGGGACUGAGACACGGCCCAGACUCCUACGGGAGGCAGCAGUGGGGAAUAUUGCACAAUGGGCGCAAGCCUGAUGCAGCGACGCCCGCGUGAGGGAUGACGGCCUUCGGGUUGUAAACCUCUGUUAGCAUCGAAGAAGCGAAAGUGACGGUAGGUGCAGAGAAAGCGCCGGCUAACUACGUGCCAGCAGCCGCGGUAAUACGUAGGGCGCGAGCGUUGUCCGGAAUUAUUGGGCGUAAAGAGCUUGUAGGCGGUUGGUCGCGUCUGCUGUGAAAGGCUGGGGCUUAACCCUGGUUUUGCAGUGGGUACGGGCUAACUAGAGUGCAGUAGGGGAGACUGGAAUUCCUGGUGUAGCGGUGGAAUGCGCAGAUAUCAGGAGGAACACCGAUGGCGAAGGCAGGUCUCUGGGCUGUAACUGACGCUGAGAAGCGAAAGCAUGGGGAGCGAACAGGAUUAGAUACCCUGGUAGUCCAUGCCGUAAACGUUGGGCACUAGGUGUGGGGGACAUUCCACGUUUUCCGCGCCGUAGCUAACGCAUUAAGUGCCCCGCCUGGGGAGUACGGCCGCAAGGCUAAAACUCAAAGAAAUUGACGGGGGCCCGCACAAGCGGCGGAGCAUGCGGAUUAAUUCGAUGCAACGCGAAGAACCUUACCAAGGCUUGACAUAUACUGGACUGCGUCAGAGAUGGCGUUUCCCUUCGGGGCUGGUAUACAGGUGGUGCAUGGUUGUCGUCAGCUCGUGUCGUGAGAUGUUGGGUUAAGUCCCGCAACGAGCGCAACCCUCGUUCUAUGUUGCCAGCACGUGAUGGUGGGGACUCGUAGGAGACUGCCGGGGUCAACUCGGAGGAAGGUGGGGAUGACGUCAAAUCAUCAUGCCCCUUAUGUCUUGGGCUUCACGCAUGCUACAAUGGCCGGUACAGAGGGUUGCGAUACUGUGAGGUGGAGCUAAUCCCUAAAAGCCGGUCUCAGUUCGGAUUGGGGUCUGCAACUCGACCCCAUGAAGUCGGAGUCGCUAGUAAUCGCAGAUCAGCAACGCUGCGGUGAAUACGUUCCCGGGCCUUGUACACACCGCCCGUCA
Molecule: ribosomal RNA, 1386 nt
Filed under: uncultured bacterium
Lineage: Bacteria
Description: bacterial SSU rRNA
Rfam family: Bacterial small subunit ribosomal RNA
Source: RNAcentral